This 232-nucleotide ribosomal RNA is filed under the name uncultured bacterium. RNAcentral's name for it is "partial 16S ribosomal RNA". It matches the Rfam family "Bacterial small subunit ribosomal RNA", at positions 99 to 334 of the family's 1533-position model. The record is from RNAcentral.
CGGACGGGUGAGUAAUGUAUGGGGAUCUGCCUGAUGGCGGGGGGUAACUACUGGAAACGGUAGCUAAUACCGCAUAAUGUCUACGGACCAAAGCGGGGGACCUCCGGGCCUCGCGCCAUCAGAUGAACCCAUAUGGGAUUAGCUAGUAGGUAAGGUAACGGCUUACCUAGGCGACGAUCCCUAGCUGGUCUGAGAGGAUGAUCAGCCACACUGGGACUGAGACACGGCCCAG